RNAcentral lists this ribosomal RNA (468 nucleotides) under uncultured bacterium. Its description in RNAcentral is "partial 16S ribosomal RNA". It matches the Rfam family "Bacterial small subunit ribosomal RNA", at positions 28 to 507 of the family's 1533-position model. The record is from RNAcentral.
GACGAACGCUGGCGGCGUGCUUAACACAUGCAAGUCGAACGGAAAGGCCCUGCUUUUGUGGGGUGCUCGAGUGGCGAAAGGGUGGGUAACACGUGAGUAACCUGCCCUUGACUUUGGGAUAACUUCAGGAAACUGGGGCUAAUACCGGAUAGGAGCUCCUGCUGCAUGGUGGGGGUUGGAAAGUUUCGGCGGUUGGGGAUGGACUCGCGGCUUAUCAGCUUGUUGGUGGGGUAGUGGCUUACCAAGGCUUUGACGGGUAGCCGGCCUGAGAGGGUGACCGGCCACAUUGGGACUGAGAUACGGCCCAGACUCCUACGGGAGGCAGCAGUGGGGAAUAUUGCACAAUGGGCGGAAGCCUGAUGCAGCAACGCCGCGUGCGGGAUGACGGCCUUCGGGUUGUAAACCGCCUUCGCCUGUGACGAAGCGUGAGUGACGGUAAUGGGUAAAGAAGCACCGGCUAACUACGUG